UCUCUCCUCUGUGGAGUCUUUCCUGCGGACAUAAAUCUUUGUAUACAGGAUUUUUGCCAUCUCUGGAGGCACGCCUUCACAUGUUCACCACAAUGAGUGGAGGAAGUGCCCAAGAGACCUGGUAACACAGGUGGACAGCUCAGUGAGCUCAUCAGACAGUCGCUUCACAAGAGCAUGAACAACUGAACAGAUUACACAAAAAAUGCACUCGAAUACUAAAUGCAAAGCAGAAUACGGGCAGCACAACCCGAACUCCUGUCCACCAGCGGAGAGCAACGCUCGGCAGCUGCUGCCGUGCCCUAACGCGGCGUCGUAACGCAUGGAGGCGGCUCCUCAGUCCGCGUCUCUGCGGGUGUCCGCCGAACCGAAGGCGCCGGAGCCGUCCCGCCGACACCGCUCCGCAACCCUGUGCGCUCCGCG
Molecule: non-coding RNA, 420 nt
Organism: Meleagris gallopavo (turkey)
Lineage: Eukaryota; Metazoa; Chordata; Aves; Galliformes; Phasianidae
Source: RefSeq, a predicted model, not a curated record